GGAAGGAUCAUUAACACGUAUCCACGUACCAACCCCUCGUGCACCUGUUGUCGCCUCUCCCUGCUGUGACUGGUUGGAAACGUUUGGCUCGAUUGAGUGGGACUCGCCCGCGAGGCGCGAGUCGCGGCCGAACGAACACUGGUGCGUGCUUCCGUCAGGAAGCGCACACGUACAACUUGGAACAGUCAGGCUUUCUUUCUUAGCGCGAGCGAGCUCCAUUCAAGCUCGCUUGCGUUGGGAGCCCACCUUCACACCUGUCACCCCCUUUUUGCUAGUUGACUUUUUUUAUGUGUCGCUGUGCGAGAAUUUCGGUUCUUUGCGGGCUCACACGUUUGAUUAUUUGAACGUUAAAAAUACAACUCUUAGCAAUGGAUAUCUUGGUUCUCGCAACGAUGAAGAACGCAGCGAAAUGCGAUACGUAAUGCGAAUUGCAGAAUUCAGUGAAUCAUCAAAUCUUUGAACGCAAAUUGCGCUCUUGGGUAGCCCUAGGAGCACGCCUCUCUCAGUAUCGGUUCAACCUCUCUCAGCAGCGUGGGCAUGCACUUGCUCACGCGUUGGCUGGAACAUGAGAGUCUGUCGCCGCGUGCGGCAGUCUCUUGAAAUGCAUGGAGUGAUGCGCGUGUCCCCCUGUCCGUUCAAGCCAACACUCGUGUUUGCUUGAUCUAGUGGAUGGCGACUGUCGCGCUCGAGUGACGUGAAUACUGACCGCUUGGUCUCCUUUUUUACGUGUGUCUCGAGCCGAUACCUCAAAGUCGCCGCCUGCGAACGCGGGGGGCAAAGCCUCAUGUGCCGUGGCGUCAGGCCACAAGCGGCACUCGUCGUGACACUACUGUGUUCCGACGCGUGUCUGAAAUUUGAUCUGAGAUGAAGCGAGACAACCCCCUGAAUUUAAGCAUAUUAAUAAGGGGAGGAAAAGAAACUAACAAGGAUUCCCCCAGUAACGGCGAGUGAAGCUGGAAGAGCUCAAUUUGAAAAUCGAUUUCCUAAGCGGGACAUCGAGUUGUAGCCUAGAGACGUACUAUCAGCUGAAACCUGGGUAUAAGUUCUUUGGAAUGAGACACUAGAAAGGGUGAGAGUCCCGUAUAGGAUCCAAAGCUUUCAGCGUACGAUGUAUGUUCUUCGAGUCGAGUUGUUUGGGAUUGCAGCUCUAAAUGGGUGGUAAGUUUCAUCUAAAGCUAAAUAAUGGCGAGAGACCGAUAGCGAACAAGUACCGUGAGGGAAAGAUGAAAAGAACUUUGAAAAGAGAGUUAAAAGUACUUGAAAUUGCUAAGAGGGAAGCGCUGUCAACCAGUGCUAUGCGUCCUUCAUCGCUGUUUGCCCCACUGGCAGUUGCUGGCAGUCUUUAACGCUGCUCGCGGCUGCGAAAGGGAGGCAGGCAGUUUAGGAGGGCGUGUCAGUCAAGAUCCAUUCGAUGAGUGGGAGAAGGGAGCGGGAAAGGUAGGACACUCGUGUCUGUUAUAGACCCGCUCCUCUACCUCGCGUUGGAUGGAGGAAGGAAUAGUGCGCCGCUUGCGGCUUGGCCCCGUGCACCUAUGCGCUUAGCUGUUUGUAUAGCAAUGCUAUCCCUGCGGCGCGUGCGUCUAUUGUGUGCGACGGCUCUAUGUGCUAUCACGAUCUUGUACGAAAUGGUUGUCAUCGACCCGUCUUGAAACACGGACCAAGGAGUCUAACAUCUAUGCGAGUAUUUGGGUGCCAAACCCUGAUGCGCAAUGAAAGUAAAGGCAGCCUCGUGCUGCUGAGGUAGGAAUCCGGUCACACGGAGGCACUAUCGACCGAUCAUCACUUGUGAAAGAUUUGAGUAAGAGCAUAUCUGUUGGGACCCGAAAGAUGGUGAUCUAUGCCUGAACAGGGUGAAGCCAGGGGAAACUCUGGUGGAGGCUCGUAGCGAUACUGACGUGCAAAUCGUUCGUCUGAUUUGGGUAUAGGGGCGAAAGACUAAUCGAACCAUCUAGUAGCUGGUUCCCUC
Molecule: unclassified non-coding RNA, 1966 nt
Filed under: uncultured fungus
Lineage: Eukaryota; Fungi
Description: sequence contains 18S rRNA gene, ITS1, 5.8S rRNA gene, ITS2, 28S rRNA gene
Rfam family: Eukaryotic large subunit ribosomal RNA (bases 856-1966)
Source: RNAcentral